GCUUCUGCGCAUGCGCAUCGCAACUGACUACGGCGGCUCCGCGGGGUCAAGCAUCGGAAGGCGGCGGUAAGAUCCCGCGCGUGCCGGAAGGCAUCUUCCCCAUCCCACGCGCCUACAGCUGUGCUCUUCAGGGCCAUUCUGCACAGCCUAAGGUGUCCUGACAAGGAAGAAAGGCAGCAGUGCCCUCACCCAGCGAGGCUAUGCACUCAUACGUCUCCAGCAUCACAUCCCAGUACAGGGCUCGCCGCGCAGGGUCCAGCAGCGCCCACUCCUCCCUGCUGAAAUACACGGCCACGUCCCCAAAGGUCACGGGCUCCUGUAAACAAAAAGGCUCCUUGCUGCAACCACCUGGGGCCUGGGGACACAGCUUGUUGAGGAGGGAAACCCCAGCCCCAGCAGCUUCUCUCUCCAGCACACAAAUGCAUGGGCAAGGGCAUCUCACGCUCCCCUUGCGUUCACAUGCCUUGCACCUCUGUCUCACUGACUGCUUCCCCAAGCCCCUACCUGGGAUGGAUGUGCUGUGGCCAUUUGCUGCCCUCCUGCAGGUUGGGACGGUCGCAGGUGAAAGGCAGUCAGCCUGUGGGGACAAGAGGAACAGAGGGCAGCUGUGAGGGAAUGCAGCAGUCCCCAUCCUACCCAGCCCUCCCCAGCUGUGGCAGCAGUUCAGCACCACAGUGCCCUUUGGUCGCUGCCCCCACAGUGGGAUGAGGAAGAGAAUGAGAAGCAAAACAGAACUCAUGCGUUGAAAUAAUACCUAUUGACCAAAACAAGAAAGAAAACGGCAAAAAUACAAUUCAAUAAAACAAGCAUGUAUACAUAUAUAUACACAGUGCAGUUUCUCACCAUCCACUGACAGACCAAUGCCCAGCAAGCCUGAAGCAGCAUCUUCUCCCCCCAGCACCUCCCACAGCUCUUUUUUUUUUUUCUUUUUUUUCAUCAUACUAUUUUCUGCCCGUUCCUUUUUGGGAGAUGGAAUGAGUGAGCCAGGUGGUGCUGCUUAGCCCUCUGCUGCUGUCCAACCAUCACACUCAGACAUCCUCUGUCUCCUGGGACGCAAAUGCAAGGGGGAAUGCAGAGUGCUUUUGCACAGAAUGGAACUGGAGCCCACCCAGUGCCUGAACCAGUGCAGCAGCUGUGUGUGAAGGGACCUUCCAUUGCAGGGAGAUCCUGAACAAAAACCUUCUGAGGGAGCUGCACAAUGAAGAAUGCCCAGCCCUGUAGUUCAGGGGAUAGCAGAAGCCUCAGAACAAGUGAGCAAUCAAACCGACUGCUUACAGAACAACAGGAGGCAUUAAAAGUGCCACCAGAGGAAGAUCUUGUCUGUUGGAUCCCCUGAGGGUAUUUGGGGGCUGGUGGAGUGGGAAAUGGAAAAUACCGACUUGGAGGCUUUAGAUAAGAGUCAAAAAGGAGGUGGGGAUAUGUUACAAAUAACAUAGUGGAAUCCAUACGUGCAGAGGUGUGGAGCAUGGGCAUUUCACGUCUUGGCACGUAUACGUAAGUUCCUUCAAAAGUAAUGCUUCUUAAUUCCAGGGAAACUACAACAGAGACAAAG
Molecule: long non-coding RNA, 1552 nt
Filed under: Gallus gallus (chicken)
Lineage: Eukaryota; Metazoa; Chordata; Aves; Galliformes; Phasianidae
Source: RNAcentral